This is a long non-coding RNA of Frieseomelitta varia, 1920 nucleotides long. RefSeq lists it as uncharacterized. Lineage: Eukaryota; Metazoa; Arthropoda; Insecta; Hymenoptera; Apidae. The record is from RefSeq and is a predicted model, not a curated record. The transcript is spliced from 2 exons.
GAAAAGAAUGGAAAGGAAGGAAGGAAAAAGGAAGGAAGGAAGGAAGGAAGGAAGGAAGGAAGGAAGGAAGGAAGAGUGUGAAGAAACGACAGGAGGGAAGCGAGACACACACGCACACACGUACACGUACACACACACACACACACCCGAAAGGACGAAAGGACAGAGAGAGAAGAACGUCAGCGUGAACUCGCGUGAAGCGUCGUCGUGACGCUCCAGCGAAUUUCUACGUAGAGGCGGAUUUCGACGCUCUUGACACGAUUUUCACACGAUGAUACAGACGAAACGCGUGCAUACAUACAUGCAUACAUAUAUGCACAUACACACACGUACACACACGUGAAGAGACGGAGCGAAGAGAAGCGUAAGAGUAUAAAAGAAAGGCACUGUUGAAGUCACACGCGCACGCAUAUAAUAUAAUACUUGUUCACACGUACACACAGAGGAACACACAGAGUCCACAGUCGCGGAAGAUUCUUUUAGGAAAGUCGAGCCCCGCGCUGUUUUCCCCGGAAAAAUUGUCGUCUCGAGAUGGUAUGGGGAAGAAGAAGAAUCGAAACCGAUUGGAAAUUUGUCGUUAGGGGCGAUCAUCCUCCCGAAGAGACGGAGGUAGGCUUUCCGAAUAACGAGCGACGAGCUGUCUGUUUUUUCUUUUGCCUUUUUUUUUAACCUGUUAACCGGACGUCCUGUUAACGUCGAGACGAGCAAUGGAGCAGAACCUUCGAUCGUUCUCGCUCGAAAGUGAACGUCUAUUUUACUGUUUCCACGGUGGAGAACGACACGAGCGAUAGCAACGUCGAUAGGAUAUCUAUUUUAACUUUAACUCUCUGCGAGAUGAUGAAGCGGUAUGUGUCGUUUCAGUUCCUCGAGUCGUGGGCUUUCUUUCCAUCCGUAGCCAAACGCGAGUUUUGUAGGAGCGACGAAGCUUCAUUCUGACAGCAAGCCAAUUCGAUCCAGUAUCGAGGAUCGUGAAAAUUCGAGGAAGAAGGAAAGUUACAAAUUGAGAUAUACACACACAUAUAUAUAUAAAUAAAUAAAUAAAUAUGAAUCAGAAUGAAGCGAGUGGAUAGCAUGAAGAAAGUAACCGUGACACGCACACAUGUCCAUUUACAUAUUUUCAAAUGCAAGGAAAAAUUCAGUGAAAAAUUAAAGCGACUUGUUCGUGAAAGUAAGGAGCCGAAUUAAUUAAUUACAUUAUCUCCUAGUUGCCCGUUUUUUGAAGAUUUUUGAAAGUAACCAUCCGGCCAGCUGCCGGUUAACAGGUUAAAAAUCGUGGGAAAGAUUGGUGUCCUGUCCUGGUUGGAUACGAUCGACUCGCAGCAACUCGUUCGUUGUCUCUCCGUCUCGUACGAGAGUCACGUCUGUUAAUUAAUUCCAGAACGACGUGAUUCGAUGUAUUCACAUGGAAACAAACAGACAUCGCGGAGAGAAAAGAAACAAAACGAAACGAAACGAAACGAAACGAAACGAUACAGCGAAGACAAGCGCGGUGGCUCGCGGUACGAAAUUGCAUAAUAUAGAGAUACAAAAGAGACGAAGACGAGUACAUCAAGCUUAAUACCAAAGGUGCCCUAAGAAGCGUGUAUUUAUGUUUUAUCAUUGGCGCGUCGCGAGAAUGGCGAGCAUUUAAUUAUGUAUCUUGUUAAGGAGAGUCUAAAUAUCCUAGACGGGGUGUAGAGAGAGAGAGAGAGAGAGAGAGAGAGAGAAAGCAUGAGAAUGUGCGAAUGGAUGUGGCAAGUGUGGAUGUGAUCGACCGAGCGACUGCGUUGAUUUAACGUAAUAAUCUUAUAUAUAUUAUAUAUAUAUAUAUAUUACAUAACGAAUGCGAACAUAUCAUAGGAUUAAGCAGUUAAGUAGGGAAGAAGAGUUAAAGUUCUUGUAAUAAGGAUCUAAAGGAAGCCGCGGGGGGGGGGAAAGCCG